RNAcentral lists this ribosomal RNA (634 nucleotides) under uncultured archaeon. RNAcentral describes it as "bacterial SSU rRNA". It matches the Rfam family "Archaeal small subunit ribosomal RNA", at positions 225 to 859 of the family's 1478-position model. The record is from RNAcentral.
UUAGGUAGUUGGUUAGGUAAUGGCUUACCAAGCCGUUGAUCGGUACGGGUUGUGAGAGCAAGAGCCCGGAGAUGGAACCUGAGACAAGGUUCCAGGCCCUACGGGGUGCAGCAGGCGCGAAACCUCCGCAAUGUGAGAAAUCGCGACGGGGGGAUCCCAAGUGCCAUUCUUAACGGGAUGGCUUUUCAUUAGUGUAAAGAGCUUUUGGAAUAAGAGCUGGGCAAGACCGGUGCCAGCCGCCGCGGUAACACCGGCAGCUCUAGUGGUAACAAUUUUUAUUGGGCCUAAAGCGUCCGUAGCCGGUUUAAUAAGUCUCUGGUGAAAUCCUGUAGCUUAACUGUGGGAAUUGCUGGAGAUACUAUUAGACUUGAGACCGGGAGAGGUUAGAGGUACUCCCAGGGUAGAGGUGAAAUUCUGUAAUCCUGGGAGGACCGCCUGUUGCGAAGGCGUCUAACUGGAACGGUUCUGACGGUGAGGGACGAAAGUUAGGGGCGCGAACCGGAUUAGAUACCCGGGUAGUCCUAACUGUAAACGAUGCGGACUUGGUGUUGGGGUGGCUUUGAGCUGCUCCAGUGCCGAAGGGAAGCUGUUAAGUCCGCCGCCUGGGAAGUACGGUCGCAAGACUGAAACUUAA